GCGCAGUGUCCGGAGCGGGCUGGGGGGAGAGAGCCCGAGAGCAGGGUUCGGUGCCUUUUCCUCUGUCCCCAGCCGGUGCCCAGAGCCCCCCUCCCCUUCCUCCCCACCCCCUCCCCUCCCCAACCCUGCCCUCCCCCUUGUCCCGGGAUCGCUCCGUCGCACCCACCAUGAUGGAAGACGACGGGCAGCCCCGGACUCUACACACACAAGCUAAGACAUAUGGUUCUAUCUUCAGAAAACAAUAUGGUGUUUAGAGCCUAGGUAGCAAUUAUAUAUUUAAAGACUUGGAUCUUUAGCUUGACUAUUUCAUAACCAGAGCAGAAAGAAAGUGAAGUGUAGAAGCUAUAAUUUGGAACGAAUAAAGAUGUCAUUUCAAUGAACUACCAAGAGAUGAUCUUACUAGAUACGUAGGUAACCUUUCCAGAGAUGUGACAGAAGUCCUUAUACUUCAGUUGUUCAGUCAGAUUGGACCCUGUAAAAGCUGU
Molecule: long non-coding RNA, 485 nt
Filed under: Homo sapiens (human)
Lineage: Eukaryota; Metazoa; Chordata; Mammalia; Primates; Hominidae
Description: non-protein coding lnc-RGS10-4:1
Source: RNAcentral